This 86-nucleotide transfer RNA is filed under the name Deltaproteobacteria bacterium. Its description in RNAcentral is "tRNA-Leu". It matches the Rfam family "tRNA". Rfam says of the family: Transfer RNA (tRNA) molecules are approximately 80 nucleotides in length. Their secondary structure includes four short double-helical elements and three loops (D, anti-codon, and T loops). RNAcentral also lists the same sequence under 1 other name. Lineage: Bacteria; Pseudomonadati; Myxococcota; Myxococcia. The record is from RNAcentral.
GCGGGAGUGGCGGAAUGGCAGACGCGCUAGGCUCAGGACCUAGUGGCCGAAAGGCUGUGUGGGUUCGACUCCCUCCUCCCGCACCA